UUAACUUAAGGGAGUACUUCCUUGAUUCUAUAAUUGAUUGAUUAUGAGUUCUUAAAUUAAUAUAUUACGAUGAUUUUUUUACCUUCAGUACCUACUUUCAACUAUAAAUACCCUAUAUCUUUCACAAAAAAAAGCAACGAACACUUUUAGUUCUGAACUUACACUUACACUCAAACACUCUCUUAAUUUACUACUUGCAUAGUGGCUUUUUUAGCCAGUUGAAAGCUAAGGCUAUAUUUUGAAGUCCUGCUACUGUUCUUUACUGCAUUUUUUCUUCUUUAACUGGUCUGUUCUAAUUAAUCUUUUAGUAUCAACAAUAACAUGAUUACUUGAUAUUCUUGCAUUCUGCCUACUGCUUGUAUCUAAUUUAGUACCUUCAUUUAACAUGCUGUAAUUUCUGAAUUAAUGUAGUAUGAACCCUAAAUCCCAACCCAAUGUGUUUUAAUACUUAUUGGUUGUUUGGGGCAUGACAACAUCGAAUAUUGGUGAGCAUGACUCAAACUUGAUCCUUUCUAGGAUCAUAACCUCUAUGUUGCCCUUAUAUGUUGUGUGCUCUGGUUGAUUUGCAAGCAUGACAACACUCCCUAUUGAUGUGCAUGCCCAGAAUUAACUUAUGUCUAAGUAUAUAGGCUCCUUGCAAUGGAUUCCCAAUCCUUUACCCCAUUGGUGUGAAAUUAUCAACUCCUUGAAGUGUUAAUGGUUGUCCCUCAAUCACUCUUUCCCCCUCCUUUAUUCCCCCAUCCCUUAGAACUCUGUUGCUGCACUCUCACUAUCUUCUUAGAACUUAAAUUCUGACCCCCUCAAGUGAGCCCUGCCUUGAGACCCAUGAGCUCAAUCUGAACUUAGACACAUGAGGGCUGGUAUUUCCAAACUGCACUUGUCCUUAUUCUGGUAAUGUAAUUUGGGGGUGAGCACUGCCCGAGACCCUAUUGAGGCCCUUAGGGAACUCUGACACAUUCAAGUUUGAGAAAGGCUUUGAAGCAAUGACAAUUUAAGACAGUUUAUUCCAUAGCUCAAGGAGGAACCAAGAAUCUGACCUCAUCUAGUUGUAUUUUAUUUAUUUUUGAUGUAUUCAGUAUUCCUAGUUUGUAAUAAGUUUGUAAUAAACGUUUGGGGCUGGCUAGAAAAAGAGUUGGGUAUUUAUGCAUGUCAAG
RNAcentral lists this long non-coding RNA (1154 nucleotides) under Nicotiana benthamiana. RNAcentral's name for it is "long non-coding RNA (NBEN_LNC027758)". The record is from RNAcentral. Lineage: Eukaryota; Viridiplantae; Streptophyta; Magnoliopsida; Solanales; Solanaceae.